UAGUCUGGUGCCAGCAGCCGCGGUAAUUCCAGCUCCAAUAGCGUAUAUUAAAGUUGUUGCAGUUAAAACGCUCGUAGUCGGAUUUCGGGGCAGGUUUGCCGGUCUGCCGAUGGGUAUGCACUGGUAGAACUGUCCUUCCUUCCGGAGACGGCGCCUACUCUUAACUGAGCGGGUGUCGGAGACGGAUCGUUUACUUUGAAAAAAUCAGAGUGUUUCAAGCAGGCAGCUCGCUUUUGCAUGGAUUAGCAUGGGAUAAUGAAAUAGGACUUUGGUGCUAUUUUGUUGGUUUCGAACACCGAAGUAAUGAUUAACAGGGACAGUCAGGGGCACUCGUAUUCCGCCGAGAGAGGUGAAAUUCUUAGACCAGCGGAAGACGAACCACUGCGAAAGCAUUUGCCAGGGAUGUUUUCACUGAUCAAGAACGAAAGUUAGGGAAUCGAAGACGAUCAGAUACCGUCGUAGUCUUAACCAUAAACCAUGCCGACUAGGGAUUGGAGGAUGUUCCUAUGUGACUCCUUCAGCACCUUUCGGGAAACUAAAGUCUUUGGGUUCCGGGGGGAGUAUGGUCGCAAGGCUGAAACUUAAAGGAAUUGACGGAAGGGCACCACCAGGAGUGGAGCCUGCGGCUUAAUUUGACUCAACACGGGGAAACUUACCAGGUCCAGACAUUGUGAGGAUUGACAGAUUGAGAGCUCUUUCUUGAUUCGAUGGGUGGUGGUGCAUGGCCGUUCUU
This 733-nucleotide ribosomal RNA is filed under the name uncultured eukaryote. RNAcentral describes it as "SSU rRNA". It matches the Rfam family "Eukaryotic small subunit ribosomal RNA", at positions 557 to 1295 of the family's 1831-position model. The record is from RNAcentral.